UCAGCUGUUUGUUCUUUUGCUCUUUUUAGCUCUUUGCCCGACCAGACUUGCGACUAGAGAGGGACCAAGCAACCCGAAAUCGGACCUGUUGGAAUGUGAUUUUAAAUUUAUAAUUACAGUUUACUGCAUGAGUGUGCCUCAAAAUCAAUGUAAUGAAAAAGUGUGAUUGCAUUUGCCAGGUUUACCAUUUUAUGAUCUGAUAUCUGGAUUGGGUUUGGGAAGGAGUGAUUCAGGUUUGAGGAACCCCGGAAACCCAUCUGUUUGUUCUUUUUGGCUUUUUAGCUCCUUGGCCCGAGACUUGAGAAUCACCUGAGAGGGACCAGGCAAACUGAAACUGGACCUGUCUAGUUGGAAUCCGAUUUUAAAUUUAAAAAUACGGUUUUACUACAUGAGUGUGCCUCGAAACCAAUAUAAUGAAAAAGGUACACCCUUGUCGGAGGACAUUUGUACGCUUAUUUAAAGUCGCUGUAACCGUGACUUUUAAAAUUUAUUUGCAGUAAUUGUGACACUAUUUUAUGCGUCGAAGGAGGCAAUCUUUUGAGAAGUCAAAAUAAGAAGAAAAAAACGCAUUUUAUCCACUUUAAAAAAAUUUUAACAAAAUUAAACUUCUUAGUUUAAAAUUAAACUUGUUAUGUUAAUAAUCUAGGAAAAUGAAAACAUUGAGGAAGAUGGUGUACAUAGAAUUUGAAUUGGGCAGGCAAAUUGGAGAUGUGCAAUCGGAAUUUUAUGUGAUUGUUGCGUACCAAUAAAACUACAAGGCUGGUUUUAUAGGAUAACUGUGAGAAUAGAUUUGCUUUAUGGGAUGGAAUGUUGGACGGUCAGAAAACAACAUCCCUAUAGAAUGAGUGUAAUGGAGAUGAUGAUGUUAAGAUAAACGAGUGACACGAUAAGAAGGGAUAUAAUUCAAAAAUUUAGGUGUGACCCCAAUAAGAGAUAAGAUGAGAUAGAGCAGAUUUAGGCGUGCUGCUCUUGUGUGGCGUAGAUCCAAUACAAUACCGGUUAGGAGGUACGAAUUAAUUUAAGUAGAAGGCUUAAAAAAGGCAAUGAGUAGGCCCAAAUGGAUAUGGUUGGAAGUAAUAAAAAAAAACAUUGAGACUUAUAGCCUCAGUGAUAACAUGACUCUUAUUAUAACAUAAUGAUGAAUCAGGAUUUAUGUAGCUUACCCAAUUAAGUAUUAAUUUUCAUUUAUCAAGUAUAUUAAUUUGCGCAUCGAUAGUACCAUGCAACAGGAUAGUACCAACACCCAAAUAUGAGGCUCAAAAGACAUUGUACACUUUUUAACUGCUCCGAGAAAAAGGGCGAAAGGGAAUCAAAAAAUUCAACUAACAGUUUAUAAUUUAUGUUUUUAUUGUAAAAAAAUAUAGACUUUAGCUCAAACGCCAAUCGACUGCUGUGACAACCCUGCUGGCCACUUAAUCAGUACGUUAUACCCAAGCAAAAUUCUGCCGUAGGUCGAUAUUUACAUCAUAAAUAUAUUUAUUCUUUUUAAUAAGUGUUUUGUGAGCCAAUCAACCUAUUGGAUGGUAUAGCGGGCUAGAAUGUUUAAAUACUUUUUUCAUUUUCAUCUUAUUUAUUUAUUGGAAAAGUGGUCUAUGCAUCGGGGGACGCAUAACUACAUUUGUUUCUCCUUAGGCAUUACACAUCCAUCUUAAAGAUAAUUGUGGAGUUAUGGUCUCUCUAAAAAAAAAAAAUGCAAUAUCAAGUGUUUGAAAAUUUCUUUUAAAACAUUAUCAUUUUAAUUUUAAAUUUUUUUUAUACAUUCAUGAUCUCCAUGGUAGAGAUUAUAUAUACCUACAACUUAAGUCCAAAUACCAAAAUCCAUCUUAAAAAUUGUGUGUCGUAUCUACAUAUGAAUUCUAGAACUCCUAUAUCGUUUUGAGCUGACAUUUAGGAAAUGGUGCAGUGGCUUAAGCCCACAAUAAAAACAUGUUACACAAUUUGUAUAGAAAAUAAAUAAGGAAAUGUAUGCAAUAUGACCAUUUGCAUAAGGCGGUAAGAAUCAUUUUUGGCUGUUAGAUUUAAAAGACCAAACGUGUAACAUUGACUAGACUCAAAGAUCAAAAAACAUUUCUCAAACUUUGUGAUAUGCUCUGAGCUAUUAGAUUUGACUUUUGAAGGUUAGAAUUAGUUGUGACCUCCUUAUUUCAAAAAUAAAUGAUCAUAUAGCAUACAACCCCAAUAAAUAAUUUGAUAAAAAAGUAGGCCAUCUAGUUUGGUAAAUCUCAUCAUCCGACCUAUCAGGAUCAUAAGCCAGCGGGCCCAUAAAAUAUAGAUCCCUCUCCAUUAAUUUACACUGCACAAUUCCCAUCAAACUAACAAAAGGUUUGAUACAAGGGUGUAGUUUAAGGUUGCAACCUUAAACAAUCCAAUUAAAGCACACCUCCAAACUUUAUUAUACCAUGUAAUUUUGAUGUAAAAAAUUAUUAGGAUUAUCUGAAUAUCUAUUUUCAUAUCUAAUGAUAAAAUUUAAAAAAUCUAAAAA
This 2482-nucleotide long non-coding RNA is filed under the name Amborella trichopoda. Its description in RNAcentral is "long non-coding RNA (ATRI_LNC002452)". The record is from RNAcentral. Lineage: Eukaryota; Viridiplantae; Streptophyta; Magnoliopsida; Amborellales; Amborellaceae.